UACGGGGGGUGCGAGCGUUGUCCGGAAUUACUGGGCGUAAAGGGCGCGUAGGCGGCCCGCUAAGUCGAACGUGAAAUCCCUGGGCUUAACCCAGGAACUGCGUCCGAUACUGGCAGGCUUGAAUCCGGGAGAGGGAUGCGGAAUUCCAGGUGUAGCGGUGAAAUGCGUAGAUAUCUGGAGGAACACCGGUGGCGAAGGCGGCAUCCUGGACCGGUAUUGACGCUGAGGCGCGAAAGCCAGGGGAGCAAACGGG
RNAcentral lists this ribosomal RNA (253 nucleotides) under uncultured bacterium. RNAcentral describes it as "partial 16S ribosomal RNA". It matches the Rfam family "Bacterial small subunit ribosomal RNA", at positions 524 to 776 of the family's 1533-position model. The record is from RNAcentral.